UGAGGAAUAUUGGUCAAUGGGCGCGAGCCUGAACCAGCCAAGUCGCGUGAGGGAUGACGGUCCUACGGAUUGUAAACCUCUUUUGUCCGGGGAGCAAGCGUGCGUUCGUGAACGCACGUCGAGAGUACCCGGAGAAAAAGCAUCGGCUAACUCCGUGCC
RNAcentral lists this ribosomal RNA (159 nucleotides) under uncultured bacterium. Its description in RNAcentral is "partial 16S ribosomal RNA". It matches the Rfam family "Bacterial small subunit ribosomal RNA", at positions 355 to 509 of the family's 1533-position model. The record is from RNAcentral.